AUCCCGAUCCCUGGCUCUGGUCUGCCAUGGAAUAUGAAAAGUCAGUCCACAGUGAUCUCCUCCAGCUUAACAGUUGUGCCUGAUGGAAAACAGCACAAAGAGCAGUACCGGGAAGAGAUCAGGUGCACACAUGUGAAUACCCUGUCCAUUUGCUCAGUGAUUCUACAAACAACCUGAGAAGGAUGAAUACCAGCAGUGAGAUAGAAACCUGUCAGCAGUGUGGAGAAAGGAAAUGUGGUGACCUUAUUUGUCAUAAACUGUACUGUUAUGACCUCUACAUCCCAUCUGCACCUGCACCACGGAACAAGAAGCAGAUAGCUGUUGACAAGUUUAUUAAUGAGCAGAUUGUAGAAGUCCUGGAGAACGAUGAUUACUGCUGUUACCACGGCUACAGGAAUUUUGUUGGUGGAGAUACCAUCAUACAUGCCAUGCAAAAACCCAUGAAAAUUAUCCCUGUUACACUUAUACCAGUCUACAAGGACCAAUACUUCCGAACUCUUUUAGACAUGCUUGUAACUGCAGAUAAGCUGAGAAGAAUUGUACUGCUUUUGUUUGAUGCUACUUAUACUUUGCCCAAUCUAUGGCAAUGUUGCUUUUCAGUAGAGGUCAACGACCCACAACUUCUGCGCAAAAUAAAGAAAACCAUAGAUCAUCAUAGAAAACUAUUCCCAUUGAGCAAAAGGAAACAGAUCGUAUCGAGGGAAAUAGACACAGAGUCUGCUUCACCCUUCUCAUCCCCCACAGCCAGAGACUCCCCUUUCAGGAGAUCGGACAGAUCAAGGGGGUCGUUCAGACCGUGCGGGAGCCAUUGCUGCGCCUCACCUCUCAGCAGCUCAUUCUUGCAGCACACGGCGCAUCUCCAGGGAGGUACUGCUUCCGCACAUACACGCCAUACACGGGCUGCUCCCACACAGCGGUAAUGUUCUCCCAGCCAGGGCACCCCCACUCAUGUAAUACUCCCACACAGCAGCAGCUGGGAGGACCUCACUGC
Phalacrocorax carbo (great cormorant) is the source of this 991-nucleotide non-coding RNA. Lineage: Eukaryota; Metazoa; Chordata; Aves; Suliformes; Phalacrocoracidae. The record is from RefSeq and is a predicted model, not a curated record.